GAUGAACGCUGGCGGCGUGCUUAAUACAUGCAAGUCGAACGGAGACAGUAGCAAUAUUGUCUUAGUGGCGAACGGGUGAGUAACGCGUUGGUGACCUGCCCCGAAGAGGGGGAUAACAGUUCGAAAGGUCUGCUAAUACCGCAUAAUCUGCGACGAGUUAGAGAGGUCGUAAGAAAGCCGAAAGGCGCUUUGGGAGGGGCCUGCGUCCCAUCAGCUAGUUGGUAAGGUAAAGGCUUACCAAGGCGAUGACGGGUAGGGGACCUGAGAGGGUGGCCCCCCACAAUGGAACUGAAACACGGUCCAUACACCUACGGGUGGCAG
RNAcentral lists this ribosomal RNA (321 nucleotides) under uncultured Chloroflexota bacterium. RNAcentral describes it as "bacterial SSU rRNA". It matches the Rfam family "Bacterial small subunit ribosomal RNA", at positions 28 to 351 of the family's 1533-position model. Lineage: Bacteria; Bacillati; Chloroflexota. The record is from RNAcentral.